This 231-nucleotide ribosomal RNA is filed under the name uncultured Staphylococcus sp. Its description in RNAcentral is "partial 16S ribosomal RNA". It matches the Rfam family "Bacterial small subunit ribosomal RNA", at positions 109 to 334 of the family's 1533-position model. Lineage: Bacteria; Bacillati; Bacillota; Bacilli; Caryophanales; Staphylococcaceae. The record is from RNAcentral.
AGUAACACGUGGAUAACCUACCUAUAAGACUGGGAUAACUUCGGGAAACCGGAGCUAAUACCGGAUAAUAUAUUGAACCGCAUGGUUCAAUAGUGAAAGACGGUUUUGCUGUCACUUAUAGAUGGAUCCGCGCCGCAUUAGCUAGUUGGUAAGGUAACGGCUUACCAAGGCAACGAUGCAUAGCCGACCUGAGAGGGUGAUCGGCCACACUGGAACUGAGACACGGUCCAG